UACGUAGGGGGCAAGCGUUGUCCGGAAUCAUUGGGCGUAAAGCGCGUGUAGGCGGCCUUGUAAGUCUGUUCUGAAAGUCCGGGGCUCAACCCCGGGAGGCGGAUGGAUACUGCAAGGCUCGAGUACGGAAGAGGCGAGUGGAAUUCCCGGUGUAGCGGUGAAAUGCGCAGAUAUCGGGAGGAACACCAAUGGCGAAGGCAGCUCGCUGGGACGUUACUGACGCUGAGACGCGAAAGCGUGGGGAGCAAACAGG
This 253-nucleotide ribosomal RNA is filed under the name uncultured bacterium. Its description in RNAcentral is "partial 16S ribosomal RNA". It matches the Rfam family "Bacterial small subunit ribosomal RNA", at positions 524 to 776 of the family's 1533-position model. The record is from RNAcentral.